GAAUAAGAUAAGUUAACCUUAAGACUAUAAGGCCCAUAACCUUAACGUAAAAACAUUUUUCUUUAUCA
Molecule: transfer RNA, 68 nt
Filed under: Liposcelis nr. bostrychophila AZ
Lineage: Eukaryota; Metazoa; Arthropoda; Insecta; Psocodea; Liposcelididae
Description: tRNA-Met
Source: RNAcentral